UUCAAGCUUUUGCUAAAUAUAUUUAUUAAAUAGACCAGAAAAACAAACAUGUAACGUUACAGGACUCUGACACAAGGUGAAGAAAUGUUUUUUUUUUUUUUUUUUUACUUUGAACUGUAGUCUGAGGUCCAUUUGGACCCAAACGCAUCUGGCCUCUUAAACGUGAUUGGCUUGGUAAUACAUUUUCUUUAUUUCAUAAGAAAGAUGGACCUCAUGAAACGCUCGUCAGUGGAUACGCAUUUAUUUGGAUUUAGUGUGAAUUAUAAAAUUCACUCUGUAGGUUUUUUUUUUUUCCUAUAACGUUUCACAUUUAAACAACACACCUUUUUCUCUACUGAAGCAUUUUAGUGCUUUUUAGGAGCUGGAUUUUGUCUUAUAACAAGAAAAAUAGGCUACUCUAUUCGAGGCAUAUGAAUGCUUCUUUGUCUCGGAAGUGGGCGGGGUCUUUUAGCCGAUUUAAAUCCGGAGUUUUCCGAUCUUGUCCGAUCCACUGCUCAGGCGUUGCAGCUGCGUGUUCUUCUCGCAUCUUCAUCCCGCGCAGCCCUUCCACCAUGGUGGACAUACUGAUGUUGAUGUUUUUCGCCGUCAUGGGUCUCGUCUUCCUCUCCUACAUUAUCUACAUGCUGUGAUGUGUCGGUCAGCCGUUUUCACAGCGGGACGGAGGUGGGGUUUUGUCCCUCCUACAUCCCUGCUUACCGUCAUAGACAUAGACUGAAGAACCUCAUGCAGGUCAUGAUGUUUCCCCUCUCCGCUCUAAGAUGGGACAUAAGGGGAUCCCUGAGGAAGAGGACUGGACACCUUUCAUCUUUUCUUAUUAUUUUCCUCCAUCUGUGGCCUCGCCUUAUCUCUUCCAACACCCCUGCAGCCCUUAUUUACUCUUACCUUCAAUUAGUCUUACAUCAGCAUAAAACCAGUAAAUCCAUUGAUAUGAAUGAAUACAGUGUUUUUGUUGCCAGUAUGUUCUCCUUCCUGCUCUCUAUAUUAAUUUUAGCAACAGAUUACUCAUAAUGCAGCAUAAAAAUGGGUCAUUUCCUGCUUUUGUCCCAUCUGGCAGAGAAUUCCCUGUUUGGAGAUGGAUUGUUUAUUCAUAUUCAUUUCAUUCCACUGAUGUUGGGUUUACAGAUGCACUGAUAAUCAGCUAAAUAUGUUUCACACGAUGUUAAUUAAAAUGAUUUAAAUACA
Molecule: long non-coding RNA, 1182 nt
Organism: Girardinichthys multiradiatus
Lineage: Eukaryota; Metazoa; Chordata; Actinopteri; Cyprinodontiformes; Goodeidae
Exons: 2
Source: RefSeq, a predicted model, not a curated record